Glycine soja is the source of this 10381-nucleotide RNA transcript. RefSeq lists it as uncharacterized. The transcript has 16 exons. The record is from RefSeq and is a predicted model, not a curated record. NCBI's taxonomy places the organism in Eukaryota, Viridiplantae, Streptophyta, Magnoliopsida, Fabales, Fabaceae.
AUUUGUUCAAGUUUCAUUCUACCUCCUACCAUAUCAACCAUAACCAUACUAAACUUUUUUCUUCUAAUAAUGGCUGCGGCAACACGUUCUCGUGCAUCAAUCUACGAUGUUUUCCUCAGCUUCAGAGGGGAAGACACACGCUAUGGUUUUACUGGCAAUCUCUACAAGGCUCUUUGUGACAAGGGAAUUCAUACCUUCUUUGACGAAGACAAGCUUCACAGUGGAGAGGAAAUAACACCAGCACUUUUGAAGGCAAUUCAAGAUUCCAGGAUUGCCAUCACUGUGCUCUCUGAAGACUUUGCUUCUUCCUCAUUUUGCUUGGAUGAACUUGCAACCAUCCUUUUCUGCGCCCAGUAUAAUGGGAUGAUGGUUAUACCGGUCUUUUAUAAGGUCUAUCCUUGUGAUGUCAGACACCAGAAAGGUACUUAUGGAGAAGCAUUGGCUAAGCAUAAGAAAAGAUUUCCAGACAAGUUGCAGAAAUGGGAGAGGGCUCUGCGUCAAGUAGCCAACUUGUCUGGCCUUCAUUUCAAAGAUAGAGAUGAAUAUGAAUACAAGUUUAUUGGGAGAAUUGUUGCAUCGGUCUCUGAGAAGAUUAACCCUGCUAGUUUACAUGUUGCGGAUCUGCCUGUUGGACUAGAGUCAAAAGUACAAGAAGUAAGGAAGCUUUUGGAUGUUGGAAACCAUGAUGGUGUCUGCAUGAUAGGGAUCCACGGAAUGGGUGGGAUAGGAAAAUCAACUCUUGCUCGAGCUGUCUAUAAUGAUUUAAUAAUUACUGAGAAUUUUGAUGGUUUGUGUUUUCUUGAAAACGUGAGAGAAAGUUCAAACAAUCAUGGGUUACAACACCUCCAAAGCAUUCUUCUUUCAGAAAUACUUGGAGAGGACAUCAAAGUAAGAAGUAAGCAACAAGGAAUUUCAAAGAUCCAGUCUAUGCUUAAGGGGAAGAAGGUUCUCUUGAUUCUGGACGAUGUUGACAAGCCCCAGCAAUUACAGACAAUUGCUGGACGACGUGAUUGGUUUGGUCCUGGCAGCAUAAUCAUCAUCACCACUCGGGACAAACAACUGCUAGCACCUCAUGGGGUUAAAAAAAGAUAUGAGGUGGAGGUUUUGAAUCAGAAUGCUGCUCUACAAUUGCUUACAUGGAAUGCUUUCAAAAGAGAAAAAAUUGAUCCAAGUUAUGAGGACGUUUUGAAUCGUGUAGUAACUUAUGCUUCUGGCCUUCCAUUGGCUUUGGAAGUCAUAGGUUCCAACAUGUUUGGAAAAAGGGUAGCAGAAUGGAAAUCUGCUGUGGAACAUUAUAAAAGAAUUCCCAAUGAUGAAAUCCUAGAAAUUCUAAAAGUAAGCUUUGAUGCUUUGGGGGAAGAACAAAAGAAUGUUUUCCUUGACAUUGCUUGUUGCUUCAAAGGAUGCAAAUUGACAGAGGUUGAACAUAUGCUACGUGGUCUUUACAAUAACUGCAUGAAACAUCAUAUUGAUGUGUUGGUUGACAAAUCUCUCAUAAAGGUUAGGCAUGGUACAGUAAAUAUGCAUGACCUAAUUCAGGUUGUGGGUAGAGAAAUUGAGCGGCAGAUAUCACCUGAAGAGCCAGGGAAGUGCAAGAGAUUAUGGUUACCAAAAGAUAUAAUUCAAGUUUUAAAACACAACACGGGAACUAGUAAGAUUGAAAUCAUAUGUCUGGAUUUCUCCAUAUCUGACAAAGAACAGACAGUGGAAUGGAACCAAAACGCCUUCAUGAAGAUGGAAAACCUUAAAAUCCUUAUUAUUAGAAAUGGCAAAUUUUCCAAAGGUCCCAAUUAUUUUCCAGAAGGUUUGAGAGUACUGGAAUGGCACAGAUAUCCUUCAAAGUGUUUACCAUCUAACUUUCAUCCGAACAACCUUCUUAUAUGCAAGUUACCUGACAGUUCCAUGGCGUCAUUUGAGUUUCAUGGCUCAUCGAAGAAGUUCGGGCAUCUAACAGUUUUGAAGUUUGACAAGUGCAAAUUUUUAACACAGAUACCUGAUGUAUCUGAUCUCCCAAAUUUGAGGGAACUUUCAUUUAAAGGGUGUGAGAGUUUAGUUGCAGUUGAUGACUCAAUUGGUUUUCUGAAUAAACUUAAAAAAUUGAAUGCUUAUGGUUGCAGGAAGCUUACAAGUUUUCCUCCUCUCAACUUGACCUCUCUUGAAACACUUCAACUUUCUGGGUGUUCCAGUCUUGAGUAUUUUCCAGAAAUAUUAGGAGAGAUGGAAAACAUAAAGCAACUUGUUUUGAGAGACCUUCCCAUAAAAGAAUUGCCAUUUUCAUUUCAAAAUCUUAUUGGACUUCAAGUGUUAUACCUGUGGAGCUGUUUAAUUGUUGAGUUACCAUGCAGAUUAGUGAUGAUGCCCGAAUUGUUUCAACUCCAUAUUGAAUAUUGCAACAGGUGGCAAUGGGUAGAAUCGGAAGAAGGUGAAGAAAAAGUGGGCUCAAUACUAUCUUCAAAGGCACGUUGGUUUCGUGCCAUGAAUUGCAAUCUAUGUGAUGAUUUUUUUUUAACAGGUUCCAAGAGGUUUACUCAUGUAGAAUAUUUAGAUCUAUCGGGGAAUAAUUUCACAAUCCUUCCCGAAUUCUUCAAAGAACUGAAAUUUUUAAGAACUCUUGAUGUGAGUGAUUGCGAGCAUCUUCAGAAAAUUAGAGGGCUUCCACCAAACUUAAAAGAUUUCAGGGCAAUAAACUGUGCAUCCUUGACUUCCUCGAGUAAAAGCAUGCUUCUAAAUCAGGAACUGUAUGAGGCUGGAGGAACCAAGUUUAUGUUUCCAGGAACAAGAAUACCAGAGUGGUUCAAUCAGCAAAGCAGUGGACAUUCAAGUUCUUUCUGGUUUCGUAAUAAAUUCCCUGCCAAACUUCUUUGUCUUCUUAUUGCACCUGUGUCGGGUGCCGGGUAUCCUUUCCUUAAACUCGAGGUGUUCAUCAAUAGCAAAUUUCAAGAAUUUUGGCACUACUAUUUAUGGGACGAUAUACAAAGUAUGUUGAAAUUGGAUAUCGAUCAUACAUAUAUCUUUGAUCUCCAUGCGUUCGCUAUAAAAAAUGAUAAUCGGUUUGAAGAAAUGGCUUGGGAAAAAGAAUGGAACCAUGUGGAGGUUAGAUAUCCAGGUGUGUUAGCGUAUGAAAAAAGAAAAAGAGAAAGAGGUUUGUUAGACUUAGAUGGCUCACUCAUUAAAGUAACUGGAUUCCAUAUAUUUAAAGAAGGCAGUAUGGAGGAAGAUAUUCGAUUUGAUGAUCCUUAUCUCGGCAGUUCUGCAUCAGAAAACCCCUCCUUGCUACAAACCAUAGGUUUGGAGACAUGCAAGUUUUCCAUAGCUUUUUUGUUUUUUUUUUUCUUGUUUUUUAUUUUAUUAUUUUGGUUUGAGAGAUGUAAAAAAUGUUUCUACACUCCCACCAUAUCAACCAUUAUCAUACUAAACUGUUUUCUUCUAAUAAUGGCUGCAACAACACGUUCCCUUGCAUCCAUCUACGAUGUGUUCCUCAACUUCAGAGGGGAAGACACGCGCUAUGGUUUUACUGGCAAUCUCUACAAGGCUCUUUGUGACAAGGGAAUUCAUACCUUCUUUGACGAAGACAAGCUUCACAGCGGAGACGACAUAACACCUGCACUUUCCAAGGCAAUUCAAGAGUCCAGGAUUGCUAUUACUGUGCUUUCUCAAAACUAUGCUUCUUCCUCGUUUUGUUUAGAUGAACUUGUAACCAUCCUUCACUGCAAGAGGGAAGGGUUGUUGGUUAUACCGGUCUUUCAUAACGUAGAUCCUUCUGCUGUCAGACACCUGAAAGGUAGUUAUGGAGAAGCAAUGGCUAAGCAUCAGAAGAGGUUCAAAGCUAAGAAGGAGAAGCUGCAGAAAUGGAGGAUGGCUUUGCAUCAAGUAGCUGACUUGUCCGGCUAUCAUUUCAAAGAUGGAGAUGCAUAUGAAUACAAGUUUAUUGGGAAUAUUGUUGAGGAGGUCUCUAGGAAGAUUAAUUGUGCUCCUUUACAUGUUGCGGAUUAUCCAGUUGGUCUAGGGUCACAAGUGAUAGAGGUAAUGAAGCUUUUGGAUGUUGGAUCCGAUGAUCUUGUCCACAUCAUAGGGAUCCAUGGAAUGGGCGGGUUAGGAAAAACAACACUUGCUCUGGCAGUUUAUAAUUUUAUAGCUCUCAAUUUUGAUGAAUCCUGUUUUCUUCAAAACGUGAGAGAAGAAUCAAAUAAACAUGGGUUAAAACACCUUCAAAGCAUCCUUCUUUCAAAAUUACUUGGUGAGAAGGACAUCACCUUAACAAGUUGGCAAGAAGGAGCUUCAAUGAUACAACAUAGGCUCCGACGAAAAAAGGUUCUCUUGAUUUUAGACGAUGUUGACAAGCGCGAGCAAUUAGAGGCUAUUGUUGGAAGAUCUGAUUGGUUUGGUCCGGGUAGCAGAGUCAUCAUUACCACUCGGGACAAACAUCUGCUAAAAUAUCAUGAGGUUGAAAGAACUUAUGAGGUGAAGGUUUUGAAUCACAAUGCUGCUCUUCAAUUGCUUACGUGGAAUGCUUUUAAAAGAGAAAAAAUUGAUCCAAUUUAUGACGACGUCUUGAAUCGUGUAGUAACUUAUGCUUCUGGCCUUCCAUUGGCUUUGGAAGUCAUAGGUUCCGACUUAUUUGGAAAAACUGUAGCAGAAUGGGAAUCUGCAGUGGAACAUUAUAAAAGAAUUCCGAGUGAUGAAAUCCUAAAGAUUCUAAAAGUAAGCUUUGAUGCUUUGGGAGAAGAACAAAAGAAUGUGUUUCUUGACAUUGCUUGUUGCUUCAAAGGGUAUAAAUGGACAGAGGUUGAUGAUAUACUCCGUGCUUUUUAUGGUAACUGCAAGAAGCAUCAUAUUGGGGUGUUGGUUGAAAAAUCUCUCAUAAAGCUUAACUGCUAUGAUAGUGGUACUGUUGAAAUGCACGACCUGAUUCAGGACAUGGGUAGAGAAAUUGAGCGGCAGAGAUCACCAGAAGAGCCUUGGAAGUGCAAGAGAUUAUGGUCACCAAAAGAUAUAUUUCAAGUUUUAAAACACAACACGGGAACUAGUAAAAUUGAAAUCAUAUGCCUGGAUUUCUCCAUAUCUGACAAAGAAGAAACAGUAGAAUGGAAUGAAAACGCCUUCAUGAAGAUGGAAAACCUUAAAAUACUUAUUAUUAGAAAUGGAAAAUUUUCCAAAGGUCCCAAUUAUUUUCCCGAAGGUUUGACAGUACUGGAAUGGCACAGAUAUCCUUCAAAUUGUCUACCAUAUAACUUUCAUCCGAACAACCUUCUUAUAUGCAAGUUACCCGACAGUUCCAUUACGUCAUUUGAGUUGCAUGGCCCAUCCAAGAAGUUUUGGCAUCUAACAGUCUUGAAUUUUGACCAGUGCGAAUUUUUAACACAGAUACCUGAUGUAUCUGAUCUCCCAAAUUUGAAGGAACUUUCAUUUGAUUGGUGUGAGAGUUUAAUUGCAGUUGAUGACUCAAUUGGUUUUCUGAAUAAACUUAAAAAAUUGAGUGCUUAUGGUUGCAGGAAGCUUAGGAGUUUUCCACCUCUCAACUUGACCUCUCUUGAAACACUUCAACUUUCUGGGUGUUCCAGUCUAGAGUAUUUUCCAGAAAUAUUAGGAGAGAUGGAAAACAUAAAGGCACUUGAUUUGGAUGGCCUUCCCAUAAAAGAAUUGCCAUUUUCAUUUCAAAAUCUUAUUGGACUCUGUCGGUUAACCCUGAAUAGUUGUGGAAUUAUUCAGUUACCAUGUAGCUUAGCCAUGAUGCCCGAACUGUCUGUAUUCCGUAUUGAAAAUUGCAACAGGUGGCAUUGGGUAGAAUCGGAAGAAGGUGAAGAAAAAGUAGGCUCAAUGAUAUCUUCAAAGGAACUUUGGUUUAUUGCCAUGAACUGCAAUCUAUGUGAUGAUUUUUUUUUAACAGGUUCCAAGAGGUUUACUCGUGUAGAAUAUUUAGAUCUAUCGGGGAAUAAUUUCACAAUCCUUCCUGAAUUCUUCAAAGAAUUGCAAUUUUUAAGAGCACUUAUGGUGAGUGAUUGCGAGCAUCUUCAGGAAAUUAGAGGGCUUCCUCCAAACUUAGAGUAUUUUGAUGCAAGAAACUGUGCAUCCUUGACUUCCUCGACUAAAAGCAUGCUUUUAAAUCAGAAACUGCAUGAGGCUGGAGGAACCAAUUUUAUGUUUACAGGAACAAGAAUACCAGAGUGGUUGGAUCAGCAAAGCAGUGGACAUUCAAGUUCUUUCUGGUUUCGUAAUAAAUUCCCUGCCAAACUUCUUUGUCUUCUUAUUGCACCUGUGUCUACUGGGAUUGGUGUCAAAGCAAAGGUGUUCAUCAAUGGAAAAAUUCUAAAACGUCCAUUCUAUUAUGGAAGUAAGAAGAUAGAAAGUAUGUUGGAAUUGGACCACACAUAUAUCUUUGAUCUCCAACCGUUUGCUUUCAAAAAUAAUAAUCAGUUUGAAGAAGUGGCUUGGGAAAAGGAAUGGAACCAUGUGGAGGUUAGAUAUCAAAUUGUGUUAACCCAUGUAAAAGAAAAAAGAGAAGAAGGUUCAGUCAUUAAAGCAACUGGAAUCUAUAUAUUCAAAGAAGAAAGCAGUAUGGAGCAAGAUAUUCGAUUUGAUGAUCCUUAUCUUAGCAGCUCUGCAUCAGAAAACUCCUGGUUGCUACAAACCAUAGCUUUGGGGACACGCAAGUUUUCCAUAGCUUUUUUCUUAUUUUUUUCAUGUUUUUUAUUUUAUUAUUUUGGUUUUAGUUGUCAAAAAUUGACUGUACCGCGUGAAAUAAUGCUUGGUGCCCCACUUAACAUUUUCUAUACUAUCUUUUUUAUAUUUCUUCAAGCUUGGUUCUACUCUCCCAGCAUAUCAACCAUUAUCAUACUGAACUUUUUUCUUCUAAUAAUGGCUGCGACAACACGUUCCCUUGCAUACAACUACGAUGUGUUCCUCAGCUUCACAGGCCAAGACACACGCCAGGGUUUCACUGGCUAUCUCUACAAAGCUCUUUGUGACAGGGGAAUCUACACUUUCAUUGAUGAUCAGGAGCUUCCGAGAGGAGACGAAAUAAAACCUGCACUUUCCAACGCAAUUCAAGAGUCCAGGAUUGCUAUUACUGUGCUUUCUCAAAACUAUGCAUCUUCCUCAUUUUGUUUAGAUGAACUAGUAACCAUCCUUCACUGCAAGAGUCAAGGGCUGUUGGUUAUACCGGUCUUUUAUAAGGUAGAUCCUUCUCAUGUCAGACACCAGAAAGGUAGUUAUGGAGAAGCAAUGGCUAAGCAUCAGAAGAGGUUCAAAGCUAACAAGGAGAAGCUGCAGAAAUGGAGGAUGGCUUUGCAUCAAGUAGCUGACUUGUCUGGCUAUCAUUUCAAAGAUGGAAACAGAGAUUCAUAUGAAUACGAGUUUAUUGGGAGUAUUGUUGAGGAGAUCUCUAGGAAGUUUAGUCGUGCUUCUUUACAUGUUGCGGAUUAUCCAGUUGGUCUAGAGUCAGAAGUGACAGAGGUAAUGAAGCUUUUGGAUGUUGGAUCCCAUGAUGUUGUCCAUAUCAUAGGGAUCCAUGGAAUGGGCGGGUUAGGAAAAACAACACUUGCUCUGGCAGUUCAUAAUUUCAUUGCUCUCCAUUUCGAUGAAUCCUGUUUUCUUCAAAAUGUGAGAGAAGAAUCAAAUAAACAUGGGUUAAAACACCUUCAAAGCAUCCUUCUUUCAAAAUUACUUGGGGAGAAGGACAUCACCUUAACAAGUUGGCAAGAAGGAGCUUCAAUGAUACAACAUAGGCUCCAACGAAAGAAGGUUCUCUUGAUUUUAGAUGAUGUUGAUAAGCGCGAGCAAUUAAAGGCUAUUGUUGGAAGACCUGAUUGGUUUGGUCCCGGUAGCAGAGUCAUCAUUACCACUCGGGACAAACAUCUGCUAAAAUAUCAUGAGGUUGAAAGAACCUAUGAGGUGAAGGUUUUAAAUCAGAGUGCUGCUCUUCAAUUGCUUACGUGGAAUGCUUUUAAAAGAGAAAAAAUUGAUCCAAGUUAUGAGGAUGUCUUGAAUCGUGUAGUAACUUAUGCUUCUGGCCUUCCAUUGGCUUUGGAAGUUAUAGGUUCCAACUUGUUUGAAAAAACUGUAGCAGAAUGGGAAUCUGCUAUGGAACAUUAUAAAAGAAUUCCCAGUGAUGAAAUCCAAGAGAUUCUAAAAGUAAGCUUUGAUGCUUUGGGGGAAGAACAAAAGAAUGUUUUUCUUGACAUUGCUUGUUGCUUCAAAGGGUAUGAAUGGACAGAGGUUGAUGAUAUACUCCGUGACCUUUAUGGUAACUGCACGAAGCAUCAUAUUGGGGUGUUGGUUGAAAAAUCUCUCGUAAAGGUUAGCUGCUGUGAUACUGUUGAAAUGCACGACAUGAUCCAGGACAUGGGUAGAGAAAUUGAGCGGCAGAGAUCACCAGAAGAGCCAGGGAAGUGCAAGAGAUUAUUGUUACCAAAAGAUAUCAUUCAAGUUUUAAAAGACAACACGGGGACUAGUAAAAUUGAAAUCAUAUGUCUGGAUUUCUCCAUAUCUGACAAAGAAGAAACAGUGGAAUGGAAUGAAAACGCCUUCAUGAAGAUGAAAAACCUUAAAAUACUUAUUAUUAGAAAUUGCAAAUUUUCCAAAGGUCCCAAUUAUUUUCCAGAAGGUUUAAGAGUACUGGAAUGGCACAGAUAUCCUUCAAAUUGUUUACCAUCUAACUUUGAUCCUAUCAACCUUGUUAUAUGCAAGUUACCUGACAGCUCCAUUACGUCAUUUGAGUUCCAUGGCUCAUCCAAGAAGCUCGGGCAUCUAACAGUUUUAAAUUUUGACCGGUGCGAAUUUUUAACAAAGAUACCUGAUGUAUCUGAUCUCCCAAAUUUGAAGGAACUUUCAUUUAAUUGGUGUGAGAGUUUAGUUGCAGUUGAUGACUCAAUUGGUUUUCUGAAUAAACUUAAAACAUUGAGUGCUUAUGGUUGCAGGAAGCUUACGAGUUUUCCGCCUCUCAACUUGACCUCUCUUGAAACACUUAACCUUGGUGGGUGUUCGAGUCUUGAGUAUUUUCCAGAAAUAUUAGGAGAGAUGAAAAACAUAACGGCACUUGCUUUGCAUGACCUUCACAUGAAAGAAUUGCCAUUUUCAUUUCAAAAUCUUAUUGGACUCCAGUUUUUAUGGCUGAAUAGUUGUGGAAUUGUUCAGUUACGAUGUAGCUUAGCCACGAUGCCCAAACUGUUUGAAUUCUGUAUAACGGAUAGUUGCAACAGGUGGCAAUGGGUAGAAUCGGAAGAAGGUGAAGAAAAAGUAGUGGGCUCAAUACUAUCUUUUGAGGCCACGGACUGCAAUCUAUGUGAUGAUUUUUUUUUUAUAGGUUCCAAGAGGUUUGCUCAUGUAGGAUAUUUAAAUCUACCGGGGAAUAAUUUCACAAUCCUUCCUGAAUUCUUCAAAGAACUGCAAUUUUUAAGAACUCUUGUGGUGCAUGAUUGCAAGCAUCUUCAGGAAAUUAGAGGGCUUCCACCAAACUUAAAGCAUUUCGAUGCAAGAAACUGUGCAUCCUUGACUUCCUCGAGUAAAAGCAUGCUUUUAAAUCAGGAACUGCAUGAGGCUGGAGGAAUCGAGUUUGUAUUUCCAGGAACAAGUAUACCAGAGUGGUUCGAUCAGCAAAGCAGUGGACAUUCAAUUUCUUUCUGGUUUCGUAAUAAAUUUCCAGCCAAACUUCUUUGUCUUCAUAUUGCACCGUCUACUGGGUUUUUUAUCCGGUAUCCAGAGGUGUUCAUCAAUGGAAAAUUUCAAGAAUUUGAGUCCCAUGAGACGGACGAUACAGAAAGUAUGUUGGGAUUGGAUCAUACACAUAUCUUUGAUCUCCAAGCGUAUGCUUUCAAAAAUAAUAAUCUGUUUAAAAAAGUGGCUUGGGAAAAGGAAUGGAACCAUGUGGAGGUUACAUAUCAAAGUGUGUUAGACGAUGAAGAAGAAGAGAGUGAAGAAGGUGUGUUAGACGAUGAAGAAGAAGAGAGUGAAGAAGGUGUGUUAGACGAUGAAGAAGAAGAGAGAGAAGAAGGUGUGUUAGAGUUAGAGAGCUCAGUCAUUAAAGCAAUUGGAAUCCAUAUAGUCAGAGAAGAAGGCAGUAUGGAGGAAGAUAUUCGAUUUGAUGAUCCUUAUCUCAGCAGCUCUGCAUCAGACUACAAACCAUAGCUUUGGGGACACGCAAGUUUUCCAUAGCUUUUUUCUUUUUUUUUUUAUUUUAUUAUUUUGGUUUCCGUUGUCAAAAAUUCACUUAACCCAACUUCUGUUCACCCUAUCUUCAUCAUGUACUUUUGACGCAUUUUUAUAUAUUCAUCUUUUACGACUUUAUGAACUUUCUAUAUAUAACCUUUCAAGUUUUAUCUUUCUAUAUAUUUUUAUUUCAAAAUUACGCUGUGAAAUUGUUUAUAGUGAAGAUGAUGAUGUCUAG